GCAGUUCUGUGACUGAUAGAGAAAGUGGUCAGUGCUGGAGUCUGAAUCACAAAUGCCAACAUAACACCUCUCAUUCCUACACAGACAAGAGAAAAACGGUGGGAUUCAGUUGCUCCAGGUGCUUACAUGAAAUAUCCUGAAAACUGCUCAGCCCAAAUGCUUUUUGCCUGUGAAGAAGCUGAAGAUGGCCACUCACUGGCCUGGUAGGAAUGAGAAUAGAAUACUUUAAGGCCUCUCCUGACAAGUAUUUUCCUCUAAGGAGUAACCAAACAAUUAAACCAAAACACUUCUUUAUCUCUAUUUAUUUAGUCAUAGUGAGACAAGUUCUAAGCUAGGUUCUUACAAAACUGCCAUUAGAAGACUUUCCCUAAGUAACAGAAUAAACUCCAGAAAGAAUCCCAAUGUCUCUCCCCAUUGCCCAGCAAAUACAACACAUCCCUGCAGCAGCAAAGUGUACUGCCUCCGUGUUUUAACAUUACAGGUAGAGUAUUGUUACUCAUGAGUAGUUGCACACAUUAACUGAUAUGUUUUGUACUGUAUUGCUAUCCACAGGCAUUGACAGCUGAGUAUAACUAAACAUUUAAAAGAGAGAAAAAAGGACAAAAUGAGGGAGAAACAAUUUCUUAGUAUGCAGGCUGGGUGUGUUUCCUUACACCUGUCCCAACUGAAGAGCCUCCUAAUGGGACAGAUCGUGUUUCUAGAGAUAUAAUAAAAAGCCAGCAAACCUGGGGAAGCAGCACAUCAAUACCUGGCUCCUGAGCUCUGCAAAAGCCAGUCACUCACACCACCCAGAAACCUGCUACUUGUGCUCAUCAGCCAGCACUUGGCCCUGAGCAGGUUACUUGCUGCCUGGGGGUGGGACUGGCCUCUGCUGAUGUAAAGAAAAUUCAGGUGGUGCAGGCAGGACAUGAUAUGAUUUCAAAAGAGUGGAAGCAUUAAAGAACAUUGUUUACUCCUCCUUGCUGUUCCAUUGUGUCUGUGUUUUAGUGGAGUCCCUUACUCCAAAGGGUUGCUUAGUGCAGUGAUAUGUUUGUGAGCAUUAAUGCCCUGUGCUGUAAAGCACCUGCUUCUUCCCUCAGCUUCAUUAAUUGCUAUAAUGGACAACUUUCCCUCUAAAGACCCACCUUAUCCUCCACUUCCCUGAUCAACAAAGCCUUGUCCUGAGUGGCUGAUGACUUAAUGUCUAAUUAGCUGCAAGAUCCUGAAAACAACCUUGAAAACAUUUGCUGUCAACAGCUUGGAAUCAUGGAGUGGCUUGGGUUGAAGGGGACCUUAAAGAUCAUCUAGUUCCAGUUCCUCUGCUGUGAACAGCGGUGCCUCUCACCAGACCAGGUUGUCAGUGAUCCAUCCAGCAUGGCCUUGAACACUGCCAGGAAUGGGGCAUCCACUACUACUCCGGGUGACCUGUUCCAGUGCCUCAGCACUCUCACAGUACCCCUUCAUGGGAUACUUCACAAGUCUGUUUGGAACCUUCUCUUCUUCCCCAAAGUCACAGAAGUCUGACCCUUGCUGGCUGACCCAAUGCUGGAGUACCACUGUUGUAUUCUGCUGCUGCUGAAGCCCAUGAUGUGCAGGUAAAAGUGCCCACAGUUUUCUCCACAGCUGGAUAAGGCCUGAAGGCAAAAGGACUACUUGAUCCUGUUGUGAAGCACAACAGAAGGGCUGCCAUGCAUUAAGGCUUAUCUUUGCUGUACUACAUCAAGAAGCAGUGAAUUGAAAGUAACUUCAAAACAAACCAAGGAACAAACACUGUCUUGGCAGUCAGCACACUCCAUUUGGUUUGCAUUUUUAGUUCACUGUGGCUUCUUUUAUGAGCAGUAGCUGAACUUAAUGUGAAAUAAAUACCCUUGUGAAGACAUCUUUUCCUU
This is a long non-coding RNA of Passer domesticus (house sparrow), 1868 nucleotides long. RefSeq lists it as uncharacterized. The transcript is spliced from 3 exons. The record is from RefSeq and is a predicted model, not a curated record. Lineage: Eukaryota; Metazoa; Chordata; Aves; Passeriformes; Passeridae.